RNAcentral lists this ribosomal RNA (398 nucleotides) under uncultured bacterium. RNAcentral describes it as "bacterial SSU rRNA". It matches the Rfam family "Bacterial small subunit ribosomal RNA", at positions 358 to 773 of the family's 1533-position model. The record is from RNAcentral.
GGAAUAUUGGACAAUGGGGGCAACCCUGAUCCAGCCAUGCCGCGUGCGUGAAGAAGGCCUUAGGGUUGUAAAGCGCUUUCACUGGUGAAGAUGGUGACGGUAGCCAGAGAAGAAGCCCCGGCUAACUCCGUGCCAGCAGCCGCGGUAAUACGGAGGGGGCAAGCGUUGUCCGGAAGUACGGGGCGUAAAGGGCGCGUAGGCGGAACAUCAAGUUAGGGGUGAAAGGCCCGGGCUCAACCUGGGAACGGCCUCUAAAACUGAUGAUCUUGAGUCCGGAAGAGGAUGGCGGAAUGCCCAGUGUAGAGGUGAAAUUCGUAGAUAUUGGGAAGAACACCGGUGGCGAAGGCGGCCAUCUGGUCCGGAACUGACGCUGAGGCGCGAAAGCGUGGGGAGCAAAC